GGAGUUGUGGCGCAGCGGUAGAGCGCUCGCCUGGCAUGUGUGAGGCCCUGGGUUCGAUCCCCAGCACCA
This 69-nucleotide transfer RNA is filed under the name Ictidomys tridecemlineatus (thirteen-lined ground squirrel). Its description in RNAcentral is "Spermophilus tridecemlineatus (thirteen-lined ground squirrel) tRNA". It matches the Rfam family "tRNA". From Rfam's summary of the family: Transfer RNA (tRNA) molecules are approximately 80 nucleotides in length. Their secondary structure includes four short double-helical elements and three loops (D, anti-codon, and T loops). The record is from Rfam by way of RNAcentral. Lineage: Eukaryota; Metazoa; Chordata; Mammalia; Rodentia; Sciuridae.